Molecule: long non-coding RNA, 969 nt
Filed under: Equus asinus (donkey)
Lineage: Eukaryota; Metazoa; Chordata; Mammalia; Perissodactyla; Equidae
Description: lncRNA (ENSEASG00005029155.1)
Source: RNAcentral
UCCAGGCCUGGAAUAAUCUAUGUCAUUCAUGAGGAUGGUUGGCGGUGGUUUACCAUCACCCUAUUGGAGGCCAAGAGAACAUAGCACAAUGCCUCACGGAUGUUCGAGAACUACUGCUGAUUGAUUACACAUACUGUGAUAAGUCUUGGCAGGAGCUCCGGUCCUGAAGUGAGAAAGGGUGUUUACAUUCUGGAAGAGCAGUGCCGACAAAUGUCUUGCAUCAGGGCUGUUCUCCACCAAUCUCUGCUUCCCAGCAGUUUUCUUCUCUGUGGGAUGGCUUGUGACAGCCACAGAGAUAGUCUGGGACCUGGAAGAAACGAGCCUGAACGUGAAAGCAGGCAUUCAAGGGACAGGGACAACAAAAGCUGUUUCCCUAUAAGGAAAAGAAAAGGUCCCCAGUGCCUGUGACUUCUCUCCCAGUUGUUCAGGCUGUCACAACAUUACAAAUAGUGUUCCCCAAUUUGCCAUAUGGCUUGAGAUUUCAUAAUGAGGGCUUUGGGUCUUUGGCCUUCAUAUACAUCACCAACAUGAGAAGCUGCCAAUGCUUGGUAAAGUGGUUUGAAAUUUAUCUUUGAAAACCAUUGUCUAGUCUUAGGCUCGAGUCUCCAGUUUGGGGAUACACGGAUAAAUGUUUAGGGGGGGCUGCUUAGAGAAUCUGAGGCAAGACCCCUAUUGGAUAGGCAGCAGUUUCCGACUUCUUGUUAUUUUUAAUAGCAGUGGAUUCCUUUCUUUAUACGAAAACUUACCAAAAACUCGCUAGUGAAGCAGGAAGAGCACAACUUUGUGGGAGCGGAGCUGGGAAUCUGAAGUGUGAGCGCUGGAUUUGAGUCUCCUAAGCAUGGGUAGCUGAUGACCACAGGAAGGAUCCGUGAGAAAGGCCAGAGAGUGGAAACUGAAACUGACUGACAACAGACUGGAAAGAGAGAGUCUGGAGCCGGGAUUAAGGGACUGUGGUUUCUGCAAGUCCAC